RNAcentral lists this ribosomal RNA (669 nucleotides) under uncultured bacterium. RNAcentral's name for it is "bacterial SSU rRNA". It matches the Rfam family "Bacterial small subunit ribosomal RNA", at positions 1 to 723 of the family's 1533-position model. The record is from RNAcentral.
UGAGUUUGAUCCUGGCUCAGAACGAACGCUGGCGGCAGGCCUAACACAUGCAAGUCGAACGCUGUAGCAAUACAGAGUGGCAGACGGGUGAGUAACGCGUGGGAACGUGCCUUUCGGUUCGGAAUAACUCAGGGAAACUUGAGCUAAUACCGGAUACGCCCUUCGGGGGAAAGAUUUAUUGCCGAAAGAUCGGCCCGCGUCCGAUUAGCUAGUUGGUGAGGUAACGGCCCACCAAGGCGACGAUCGGUAGCUGGUCUGAGAGGAUGAUCAGCCACACUGGGACUGAGACACGGCCCAGACUCCUACGGGAGGCAGCAGUGGGGAAUAUUGGACAAUGGGCGCAAGCCUGAUCCAGCCAUGCCGCGUGAGUGAUGAAGGCCCUAGGGUUGUAAAGCUCUUUCGCCUGGGACGAUAAUGACGGUACCUGGAUAAGAAGCCCCGGCUAACUUCGUGCCAGCAGCCGCGGUAAUACGAAGGGGGCUAGCGUUGUUCGGAAUCACUGGGCGUAAAGCGCACGUAGGCGGAUCUUUAAGUCAGGGGUGAAAUCCCGAGGCUCAACCUCGGAACUGCCUUUGAUACUGGGGGUCUAGAGUCCGGGAGAGGUGAGUGGAACUGCGAGUGUAGAGGUGAAAUUCGUAGAUAUUCGCAAGAACACCAGUGGCGAAGGCA